GGUCACGUAGUUCAGUUGGUUAGAACGCCACCCUGUCACGGUGGAGGUCGAGGGUUCGAGUCCCUUCGUGAUCG
RNAcentral lists this transfer RNA (74 nucleotides) under bacterium. RNAcentral describes it as "tRNA-Asp". It matches the Rfam family "tRNA". From Rfam's summary of the family: Transfer RNA (tRNA) molecules are approximately 80 nucleotides in length. Their secondary structure includes four short double-helical elements and three loops (D, anti-codon, and T loops). Further hydrogen bonds mediate the characteristic L-shaped molecular structure. tRNAs have two regions of fundamental functional importance: the anti-codon, which is responsible for specific mRNA codon recognition, and the 3' end, to which the tRNAs corresponding amino acid is attached (by aminoacyl-tRNA synthetases). tRNAs cope with the degeneracy of the genetic code in two manners: having more than one tRNA (with a specific anti-codon) for a particular amino acid; and 'wobble' base-pairing, i.e. permitting non-standard base-pairing at the 3rd anti-codon position. The record is from RNAcentral.